UCCCUGCCCUUUGUACACACCGC
This 23-nucleotide non-coding RNA is filed under the name Arabidopsis thaliana (thale cress). Lineage: Eukaryota; Viridiplantae; Streptophyta; Magnoliopsida; Brassicales; Brassicaceae. The record is from RNAcentral. RNAcentral also lists the same sequence under 1 other name.